This is a non-coding RNA of Branchiostoma belcheri (Belcher's lancelet), 67 nucleotides long. The record is from the annotation of a RefSeq genome assembly. NCBI's taxonomy places the organism in Eukaryota, Metazoa, Chordata, Leptocardii, Amphioxiformes, Branchiostomatidae.
UUAAUCUAGUUUAAUUAGAAUUCUAAGUUGUGGUCUUAGGGGAGGGUAAAAUAGUACUCGGUUAGCU